AGGGCUACACACGUGCUACAAUGGCAUAUACAAAGAGAAGCGACCUCGCGAGAGCAAGCGGACCUCAUAAAGUAUGUCGUAGUCCGGAUUGGAGUCUGCAACUCGACUCCAUGAAGUCGGAAUCGCUAGUAAUCGUAGAUCAGAAUGCUACGGUGAAUACGUUCCCGGGCCUUGUACACACCGCCCGUCACACCAUGGGAGUGGGUUGCAAAAGAAGUAGGUAGCUUAACCUUCGGGAGGGCGCUUACCACUUUGUGAUUCAUGACUGGGGUGAAGUCGUAACAAGGUAACCGUAGGGGAACCUGCGGUUGGAUCACCUCCUU
This 323-nucleotide ribosomal RNA is filed under the name Klebsiella pneumoniae subsp. pneumoniae. Its description in RNAcentral is "bacterial SSU rRNA". It matches the Rfam family "Bacterial small subunit ribosomal RNA", at positions 1210 to 1532 of the family's 1533-position model. Lineage: Bacteria; Pseudomonadati; Pseudomonadota; Gammaproteobacteria; Enterobacterales; Enterobacteriaceae. The record is from RNAcentral.